This 468-nucleotide ribosomal RNA is filed under the name uncultured bacterium. RNAcentral's name for it is "partial 16S ribosomal RNA". It matches the Rfam family "Bacterial small subunit ribosomal RNA", at positions 28 to 507 of the family's 1533-position model. The record is from RNAcentral.
GACGAACGCUGGCGGCGUGCUUAACACAUGCAAGUCGAACGGAAAGGCCCUGCUUUUGUGGGGUGCUCGAGUGGCGAACGGGUGAGUAACACGCGAGUAACCUGCCCUUGACUUUGGGAUAACUUCAGGAAACUGGGGCUAAUACCGGAUAGGAGCUCCUGCUGCAUGGUGGGGGUUGGAAAGUUUCGGCGGUUGGGGAUGGACUCGCGGCUUAUCAGCUUGUUGGUGAGGUAGUGGCUUACCAAGGCUUUGAAGGGUAGCCGGCAUGAGAGGGUGACCGGCCACAUUGGGACUGAGAGACGGACCAGACUCCUACGGGAGGCAGCAGUGGGGAAUAUUGCACAAUGGGCGGAAGCCUGAUGCAGCAGCGCCGCGUGCGGGAUGACGGCCUUCGGGUUGUAAACCGCUUUCGCCGGUGACGAAGCGUGAGUGACGGUAAUGGGUAAAGAAGCACCGGCUAACUACGUG